UACAGAGGUGGCAAGCGUUGUUCGGAAUUACUGGGCGUAAAGGGCGCGUAGGCGGCUCGACAAGUCCCGCGUGAAAGCCCCCGGCUCAACUGGGGAACUGCGCGGGAAACUGUCGGACUUGAGUUCGGGAGAGGGAAGCGGAAUUCCGGGUGUAGCGGUGAAAUGCGUAGAUAUCCGGAGGAACACCGGUGGCGAAGGCGGCUUCCUGGACCGACACUGACGCUGAGGCGCGAAAGCCAGGGGAGCGAACGGG
This 253-nucleotide ribosomal RNA is filed under the name uncultured bacterium. RNAcentral describes it as "partial 16S ribosomal RNA". It matches the Rfam family "Bacterial small subunit ribosomal RNA", at positions 524 to 776 of the family's 1533-position model. The record is from RNAcentral.